This 293-nucleotide ribosomal RNA is filed under the name uncultured bacterium. RNAcentral's name for it is "partial 16S ribosomal RNA". It matches the Rfam family "Archaeal small subunit ribosomal RNA", at positions 455 to 747 of the family's 1478-position model. The record is from RNAcentral.
GUGCCAGCAGCCGCGGUAAUACCGGCAGCCCGAGUGAUGGCCGAUCUUAUUGGGCCUAAAGCGUCCGUAGCUGGCUGCGCAAGUCCGUCGGGAAAUCCAUCAGCCCAACGGAUGGGCGUCCGGCGGAAACUGCACGGCUUGGGACCGGAAGGCUCGAAGGGUACGUCCGGGGUAGGAGUGAAAUCCCGUAAUCCCGAACGGACCACCGAUGGCGAAAGCAUCUCGAGAAAACGGAUCCGACAGUGAGGGACGAAAGCUAGGGUCUCGAACCGGAUUAGAUACCCCGGUAGUCC